RNAcentral lists this ribosomal RNA (343 nucleotides) under Mesomycoplasma ovipneumoniae. RNAcentral's name for it is "Mycoplasma ovipneumoniae partial 16S ribosomal RNA". It matches the Rfam family "Bacterial small subunit ribosomal RNA", at positions 71 to 406 of the family's 1533-position model. Lineage: Bacteria; Bacillati; Mycoplasmatota; Mycoplasmoidales; Metamycoplasmataceae. The record is from RNAcentral.
UAUGUUAGCUUGCUAAUAUAUUUAGUAGCAAAUGGGUGAGUAACACGUACCUAACCUACCUUUUGGGCCGGGAUAACUAUUGGAAACAGCAGCUAAUACCGGAUAAAAUAAAAAAAUGCAUGUUUUUUUAUUAAAAGGAGCCUUUAAAGCUCCACCAAAAAAUGGGGGUGCGCAACAUUAGUUAGUUGGUAGGGUAAAGGCCUACCAAGACGAUGAUGUUUAGCGGGGCCAAGAGGCUGUACCGCCACACUGGGAUUGAGAUACGGCCCAGACUCCUACGGGAGGCAGCAGUAAGGAAUAUUCCACAAUGAGCGAAAGCUUGAUGGAGCGACACAGAGUGCAG